AUGCUUAACACAUGCAAGUCGAACGCCUGUAGCAAUACAGGAGUGGCGCACGGGUGAGUAACGCGUGGGAACCUGCCCCUGGAGUGGGGGAUAACUGAGGGAAACCUCGGCUAAUACCGCAUACGACCUGAGGGUGAAAGAUUUAUCGCUCUAGGAGGGGCCCGCGUCGGAUUAGCUAGUUGGUGGGGUAACGGCCUACCAAGGCUAUGAUCCGUAGCUGGUCUGAGAGGAUGAUCAGCCACACUGGGACUGAGACACGGCCCAG
RNAcentral lists this ribosomal RNA (265 nucleotides) under uncultured bacterium. RNAcentral's name for it is "partial 16S ribosomal RNA". It matches the Rfam family "Bacterial small subunit ribosomal RNA", at positions 45 to 334 of the family's 1533-position model. The record is from RNAcentral.